This 72-nucleotide transfer RNA is filed under the name Blochmannia endosymbiont of Polyrhachis (Hedomyrma) turneri. RNAcentral describes it as "tRNA-Gly (TCC) (tRNA-Gly-TCC-1-1)". It matches the Rfam family "tRNA". From Rfam's summary of the family: Transfer RNA (tRNA) molecules are approximately 80 nucleotides in length. Their secondary structure includes four short double-helical elements and three loops (D, anti-codon, and T loops). Further hydrogen bonds mediate the characteristic L-shaped molecular structure. tRNAs have two regions of fundamental functional importance: the anti-codon, which is responsible for specific mRNA codon recognition, and the 3' end, to which the tRNAs corresponding amino acid is attached (by aminoacyl-tRNA synthetases). tRNAs cope with the degeneracy of the genetic code in two manners: having more than one tRNA (with a specific anti-codon) for a particular amino acid; and 'wobble' base-pairing, i.e. permitting non-standard base-pairing at the 3rd anti-codon position. The record is from Rfam by way of RNAcentral. Lineage: Bacteria; Pseudomonadati; Pseudomonadota; Gammaproteobacteria; Enterobacterales; Enterobacteriaceae.
GUGGGCAUCGUAUAAUGGUUAUUACCUCAACCUUCCAAGUUGAAGAUGUGGGUUCGAUUCCCAUUGCCCGCU